CUUUGACUAUUGUCAUUAGAGCAUUGCUUGUCAAAUGGUCUAAAAUAAGUCAGUGCCUUCACAGAUAUGACAGAAAACACAUUCAUUUGGUCUUCUAUACAGUAUGCACUAAAGUGGUCAUCAUAGUACAUUGUUUGUACAUUACAGGAUAUUAUGAAAGCGUGCUGUUCAUGUAUUAUAAUAUCACAGAUCUUUUUGAACACAGGAAGAUCAUCGGUACAUCCAGUGCAUAAGUACAACCCAACCUGGUACUCAGUACCGUAAUAUCUGACCCACCUUGUACUUGUAACAUUUGAACAGGCGUCCAAAUGUAAUGUCUAAAGCUGCCCCUGAUGUGUGUGCCUUGCACGGGAUUGCUUUUCGGUCGAUAAUAAGGUAGAACCUUUGGAUAUUCUUCUUUUGCUCACCGAUGCAAAGGAGGAACGGUUGUUUGCGUCGACACUCUCAAGGAAGGUAGUAAUACUGGCUCCUUCCUGUAGGUCAGUUAAGAGACAUAAAUGACUAUAACAUCUUGAUCACAUUUCUGCAGAUAUACAGAGCAAAACUGUCUCAGAAUCCCAACAUCUAUUCAGGGAUUCUUGGUGUAGGAACUUUUGCAUACCUUAAGAUAUCUAACAAGAUGGCUGGUUGCUUGAGCUGAACUGAUCUUGGCAGUUUUUUUCUGGCCCCUUGAAGUUGGAGGGAGUAGAUGCAGCAGUAAAAGGAUUGAAGACAUAUCACUGUCCCAUCCUAAAGGCAUAAAAAAUGUAUUUAUUUAGUAUAACACUGAAAUAUAUAUUUAAACAAAACGUUUUAUACUGACCAUUGUUCUCUUCAGACUCAGAUUCAGUUGCUGACAGCAACUCAUCCAUAUUCUUUGCAGUCUUGCAGUCUGUGAUGUUUGGCUUGAAGAAAGUUGACCACUUGGACAGGAACUUCUGAGACACUUCGUCACCAAACAUCAUUGAGAAAUCCUGGUCGAUCUACAAACAAGGAAAACAAUAUUUUAAUAUAAAGGUACAUCAAGAAAACGAGGGAACACAUCCAGGACUGAAGAUGAUGCAUCAUCCCCAACCAUCUUCUGUCGAUACUGGAAGGUUGACAGAGAUUCUCGCCUGGUUUUUGGACCAUCCUGAAGAAUGGUCUUGGAACGACCCCGCAAGUCAGCAAAGGUGUUGCGUUGAACCGUCUUGAUCCUCC
This is a long non-coding RNA of Gasterosteus aculeatus aculeatus (three-spined stickleback), 1179 nucleotides long. The record is from Ensembl. NCBI's taxonomy places the organism in Eukaryota, Metazoa, Chordata, Actinopteri, Perciformes, Gasterosteidae.